GAUGAAGAACGUAGCGAAAUGCGAUAAGUAAUGUGAAUUGCAGAAUUCAGUGAAUCAUCGAAUCUUUGAACGCACAUUGCGCCCCCCGGCAUUCUGGGGGGCAUGCCUGUUCGAGCGUCUCCAGGACGAAUCCUCGCGCGAGUGAACGCGCGGUCGUGGCGGAGGUGGCGUGCCCGAGCAGGGCGGCCACCGCGCUGGAAUCCAUGGGCGGACGCCUGCCGCGUGGCCGAGCGUGCUAUGACGCAUUGGCGCUCGUGCGCGGCGAGGCUGCCAGCCCUGGCCCGUCUGUCGGGCGGGGUAGAUCACCACGUGGGAACUCCUCGAAUCAGGUAGGGAUACCCGCUGAACUUAAGCAUAUCAAUAAGCGGAGGA
Molecule: unclassified non-coding RNA, 372 nt
Filed under: soil metagenome
Description: partial contains 5.8S ribosomal RNA, internal transcribed spacer 2, and large subunit ribosomal RNA
Rfam family: 5.8S ribosomal RNA (bases 1-120)
Source: RNAcentral